RNAcentral lists this ribosomal RNA (717 nucleotides) under uncultured Pseudomonadota bacterium. RNAcentral describes it as "bacterial SSU rRNA". It matches the Rfam family "Bacterial small subunit ribosomal RNA", at positions 62 to 772 of the family's 1533-position model. Lineage: Bacteria; Pseudomonadati; Pseudomonadota. The record is from RNAcentral.
UCGAAUGGUACAGGAAACAGCUUGCUGUUCGCUGACAUGGCGGACGGGUGAGUAAUGUCUGGGAAACUGCCUGAUGGAGGGGGAUAACUACUGGAAACGGUAGCUAAUACCGCAUAACGUCGCAAGACCAAAGAGGGGGACCUUCGGGCCUCUUGCCAUCAGAUGUGCCCAGAUGGGAUUAGCUAGUAGGUGGGGUAACGGCUCACCUAGGCGACGAUCCCUAGCUGGUCUGAGAGGAUGACCAGCCACACUGGAACUGAGACACGGUCCAGACUCCUACGGGAGGCAGCAGUGGGGAAUAUUGCACAAUGGGCGCAAGCCUGAUGCAGCCAUGCCGCGUGUAUGAAGAAGGCCUUCGGGUUGUAAAGUACUUUCAGCGGGGAGGAAGGGAGUAAAGUUAAUACCUUUGCUCAUUGACGUUACCCGCAGAAGAAGCACCGGCUAACUCCGUGCCAGCAGCCGCGGUAAUACGGAGGGUGCAAGCGUUAAUCGGAAUUACUGGGCGUAAAGCGCACGCAGGCGGUUUGUUAAGUCAGAUGUGAAAUCCCCGGGCUCAACCUGGGAACUGCAUCUGAUACUGGCAAGCUUGAGUCUCGUAGAGGGGGGUAGAAUUCCAGGUGUAGCGGUGAAAUGCGUAGAGAUCUGGAGGAAUACCGGUGGCGAAGGCGGCCCCCUGGACGAAGACUGACGCUCAGGUGCGAAAGCGUGGGGAGCAAA